This 253-nucleotide ribosomal RNA is filed under the name uncultured bacterium. RNAcentral describes it as "partial 16S ribosomal RNA". It matches the Rfam family "Bacterial small subunit ribosomal RNA", at positions 524 to 776 of the family's 1533-position model. The record is from RNAcentral.
UACGGAGGAUCCAAGCGUUAUCCGGAUUCAUUGGGUUUAAAGGGUGCGUAGGCGGCCUUGUAAGUCAGUGGUGAAAUCUCCUCGCUUAACGAGGAAACUGCCAUUGAUACUGCAGGGCUUGAGUACAGUUGCUGUGGGCGGAAUAUGACAUGUAGUGGUGAAAUACAUAGAGAUGUCAUAGAACACCAAUUGCGAAGGCAGCUCGUUACACGAAUAUUGACUCUGAGGCACGAAAGCGCGGGGAUCAAACAGG